RNAcentral lists this ribosomal RNA (56 nucleotides) under Cylindrocarpon sp. IBL 03149. RNAcentral describes it as "partial 18S ribosomal RNA". It matches the Rfam family "Eukaryotic small subunit ribosomal RNA", at positions 1776 to 1831 of the family's 1831-position model. The record is from RNAcentral. Lineage: Eukaryota; Fungi; Ascomycota; Sordariomycetes; Hypocreales; Nectriaceae.
AAGGAAGUAAAAGUCGUAACAAGGUCUCCGUUGGUGAACCAGCGGAGGGAUCAUUA